GAUGAACGCUGGCGGCGUGCCUAAUACAUGCAAGUCGAGCGAACGGACGAGGAGCUUGCUCCUCUGACGUUAGCGGCGGACGGGUGAGUAACACGUGGAUAACCUACCUAUAAGACUGGGAUAACUUCGGGAAACCGGAGCUAAUACCGGAUAAUAUAUUGAACCGCAUGGUUCAAUAGUGAAAGACGGUUUUGCUGUCACUUAUAGAUGGAUCCGCGCUGCAUUAGCUAGUUGGUAAGGUAACGGCCUACCAAGGCAACGAUGCGUAGCCGACCUGAGAGGGUGAUCGGCCACACUGGAACUGAGACACGGUCCAGACUCCUACGGGAGGCAGCAGUAGGGAAUCUUCCGCAAAGGGCGAAAGCCUGACGGAGCAACGCCGCGUGAGUGAUGAAGGUCUUCGGAUCGUAAAACUCUGUUACUAGGGAAGAACAAAUGUGUAAGUAACUAUGCACGUCUUGACGGUACCUAAUCAGAAAGCCACGGCUAACUACGUG
Molecule: ribosomal RNA, 497 nt
Filed under: uncultured bacterium
Lineage: Bacteria
Description: partial 16S ribosomal RNA
Rfam family: Bacterial small subunit ribosomal RNA
Source: RNAcentral